UGCGUAGGCGGCGCAGCAAGUCGGGUGUGAAAUCCCCCAGCUCAACUGGGGAAUUGCGCCCGAAACUGCUGUGCUAGAGGAAUAUAGAGGUGAGCGGAACUUAGGGUGGAGCGGUGAAAUGCGUUGAUAUCCUAAGGAACACCGGUGGCGAAAGCGGCUCACUGGUAUUCUCUGACGCUGAGGCACGAAAGCUAGGGAGCAACG
Molecule: ribosomal RNA, 204 nt
Filed under: uncultured bacterium
Lineage: Bacteria
Description: partial 16S ribosomal RNA
Rfam family: Bacterial small subunit ribosomal RNA
Source: RNAcentral